ACCCCGCCCCGCCCCGCCAAACCCGGCCGCGCAGGCGGCUUCUCCGACCAGGACCUGGCGGACGGGGUGCCGGGGCGAGCAGGUGGCGAUGGGACCGGAAGUGGAGGAGGAGGAG
Molecule: long non-coding RNA, 115 nt
Organism: Perognathus longimembris pacificus (Pacific pocket mouse)
Lineage: Eukaryota; Metazoa; Chordata; Mammalia; Rodentia; Heteromyidae
Exons: 3
Source: RefSeq, a predicted model, not a curated record